This 468-nucleotide ribosomal RNA is filed under the name uncultured bacterium. RNAcentral describes it as "partial 16S ribosomal RNA". It matches the Rfam family "Bacterial small subunit ribosomal RNA", at positions 28 to 507 of the family's 1533-position model. The record is from RNAcentral.
GAUGAACGCUGGCGGCGUGCUUAACACAUGCCAGUCGAACGGAAAGGCCCUGCUUUUGUGCGGUGCUCGAGUGGCGAACGGGUGAGUAACACGUGAGUAAACUGCACUUGACUUUGGGAUAAAUUCAGGAAACUGCGGCUAUUAUCGCAUAGGAGAUCCUGCUCCGUGGUGGGGGUUGGAAAGUUUCGGCGGUGGGGGAUAGACUCGCGGGUUAUCAGCUUGUUGGGGGGGUAGUGGCGUACAAAGGCUUUGACGGGUAGCCGGCCUGAGAGGUUGACCGGCCACAAUGGUACUGAGAGACGGCCCAGUAGCCUACGUGAGGCAGCAGGGGGGAGUAUGACGCAGUGGGGGGAAGCCUGAGGCAGCAACGCCGCGUUCGGGAUGACGGCCUUCGGGUGAUAAACCGCUUUCGCCGGUGACGAAGCGUGAGUGACGGUAAUGGGUAAAGAAGCACCGGCUAACUACGUG